RNAcentral lists this ribosomal RNA (862 nucleotides) under fungal endophyte. RNAcentral describes it as "eukaryotic LSU rRNA". The stretch from base 484 to 862 matches the Rfam family "Eukaryotic large subunit ribosomal RNA", at positions 1 to 382 of the family's 3401-position model. Lineage: Eukaryota; Fungi. The record is from RNAcentral.
UAUAACUCCCAAACCCAUGUGAACAUACCUAACGUUGCCUCGGCAGGUCGCACCUACCUUGUAGCACCCUACCCUGUAGGGCCUACCCGGGAGGUGCGGGUAAGCCUGCCGGCGGCCCACCAAACUCUGUUUGAUAUUGAAUUCUGAACCUAUAACUAAAUAAGUUAAAACUUUCAACAACGGAUCUCUUGGUUCUGGCAUCGAUGAAGAACGCAGCGAAAUGCGAUAAGUAAUGUGAAUUGCAGAAUUCAGUGAAUCAUCGAAUCUUUGAACGCAUAUUGCGCCCAUUAGUAUUCUAGUGGGCAGGACCGUUCGAGCGUCAUUUCAACCCUUAAGCCUUCGUUGCUUAGUGUUGGGAGCCUACGGCAACGUAGCUCCUCAAAGUUAGUGGCGGAGUUGGUUCACACUCUAGACGUAGUAAUUUUUUAUCUCGCCUAUUAGUUGGACUAAUCCCCUGCCGUAAAACCCCCAAUUUAUCAAGGUUGACCUCGAAUCGGUUCAGACAAACUCGCUAAAUUGAAGCAUCUUAGUCAGCGAAGGAAAAGAAACCAACAGGGAUUGCCCUAGUAACGGCGAGUGAAGCGGCAACAGCUCAAAUUUGAAAUCUGGCCCUCGGGUCCGAGUUGUAAUUUGUAGAGGAUGCUUUUGGCGCGGUGCCUUCCGAGUUCCCUGGAACGGGACGCCUUAGAGGGUGAGAGCCCCGUACGGUUGGACACCAAGCCUCUGUAAAGCUCCUUCGACGAGUCGAGUAGCUUGGGAAUGCUGCUCUAAAUGGGAGGUAAAUUUCUUCUAAAGCUAAAUAUUGGCCAGAGACCGAUAGCGCACAAGUAGAGUGAUCGAAAGAUGAAAAGCACUUUGAAAA